AUAUCGAAAAGAGGUCGCAACUGACAAGAGUAAGUUCACUGAGCUAAUAAAGUAGCGGAGAAGUGGGGUGAAAGGGGAGGUUGCCGAAGGGAGCUUAGACUUUAUGCUAAGUUUGCUGGGCCUAACCUUAAGAGGGGUAGGACUGUCGCGACAGAGGUUGCGGAGCGCUAAGAGAUAU
RNAcentral lists this non-coding RNA (178 nucleotides) under Ligilactobacillus equi. RNAcentral's name for it is "Lactobacillus equi Lysine sequence". It matches the Rfam family "Lysine riboswitch aptamer". Rfam says of the family: Riboswitches are metabolite binding domains within certain messenger RNAs that serve as precision sensors for their corresponding targets. Allosteric rearrangement of mRNA structure is mediated by ligand binding, and this results in modulation of gene expression. The record is from RNAcentral. RNAcentral also lists the same sequence under 1 other name. Lineage: Bacteria; Bacillati; Bacillota; Bacilli; Lactobacillales; Lactobacillaceae.